Molecule: ribosomal RNA, 468 nt
Filed under: uncultured bacterium
Lineage: Bacteria
Description: partial 16S ribosomal RNA
Rfam family: Bacterial small subunit ribosomal RNA
Source: RNAcentral
GACGAACGCUGGCGGCGUGCUUAACACAUGCAAGUCGAACGGAAAGGCCCUGCUUUUGUGGGGUGCUCGCGUGGCGAACGGGUGGGUAACACGUGAGUAACCUGCCCUUGACUUUGGGAUAACUUCAGGAAACUGGGGCUAAUACCGGAUAGGAGCUCCUGCUCCAUGGAGGGGGUUGGAAAGUUUCGGCGGUUGCGGUUGGACUCGCGGCUGAUCAGUUUGUUGGUGGGGGAGUGGCUUGCCAAGGCUUUGCAGGGUAGCCGGCCUGAGAGGGUGACCGGCCACCUGGCGACUGCGGUACGGCGCAGACUCCUACGGGAGGCAGAAGUGGGGAAUAUUACACAGUGGGCGGGCGCGUGAUGCAGCAACGCCGCGUGCGGGAUGACGGCCUUCGGGUUGUAAACCGCUUUCGCCUGUGACGAAGCGUGAGUGACGGUAAUGGGUAAAGAAGCACCGGCUAACUACGUG